GAUGAACGCUAGCUACAGGCUUAGCACAUGCAAGUCGAGGGGCAUCAGGAAGAAAGCUUGCUUUCUUUGCUGGCGACCGGCGCACGGGUGAGUAACACGUAUCCAACCUGCCCUUUACUCGGGGAUAGCCUUUCGAAAGAAAGAUUAAUACCCGAUGGCAUAAUGAUUCCGCAUGGUUUCAUUAUUAAAGGAUUCCGGUAAAGGAUGGGGAUGCGUUCCAUUAGGUUGUUGGUGAGGUAACGGCUCACCAAGCCUUCGAUGGAUAGGGGUUCUGAGAGGAAGGUCCCCCACAUUGGAACUGAGACACGGUCCAAACUCCUACGGGAGGCAGCAGUGAGGAAUAUUGGUCAAUGGGCGCUAGCCUGAACCAGCCAAGUAGCGUGAAGGAUGAAGGCUCUAUGGGUCGUAAACUUCUUUUAUAUAAGAAUAAAGUGCAGUAUGUAUACUGUUUUGUAUGUAUUAUAUGAAUAAGGAUCGGCUAACUCCGUGCCAGCAGCCGCGGUAAUACGGAGGAUCCGAGCGUUAUCCGGAUUUAUUGGGUUUAAAGGGAGCGUAGGUGGACUGGUAAGUCAGUUGUGAAAGUUUGCGGCUCAACCGUAAAAUUGCAGUUGAUACUGUCAGUCUUGAGUACAGUAGAGGUGGGCGGAAUUCGUGGUGUAGCGGUGAAAUGCUUAGAUAUCACGAAGAACUCCGAUUGCGAAGGCAGCUCACUGGACUGCAACUGACACUGAUGCUCGAAAGUGUGGGUAUCAAACAGGAUUAGAUACCCUGGUAGUCCACACAGUAAACGAUGAAUACUCGCUGUUUGCGAUAUACAGUAAGCGGCCAAGCGAAAGCAUUAAGUAUUCCACCUGGGGAGUACGCCGGCAACGGUGAAACUCAAAGGAAUUGACGGGGGCCCGCACAAGCGGAGGAACAUGUGGUUUAAUUCGAUGAUACGCGAGGAACCUUACCCGGGCUUAAAUUGCAGUGGAAUGAUGUGGAAACAUGUCAGUGAGCAAUCACCGCUGUGAAGGUGCUGCAUGGUUGUCGUCAGCUCGUGCCGUGAGGUGUCGGCUUAAGUGCCAUAACGAGCGCAACCCUUAUCUUUAGUUACUAACAGGUUAUGCUGAGGACUCUAGAGAGACUGCCGUCGUAAGAUGUGAGGAAGGUGGGGAUGACGUCAAAUCAGCACGGCCCUUACGUCCGGGGCUACACACGUGUUACAAUGGGGGGUACAGAAGGCAGCUAGCGGGUGACCGUAUGCUAAUCCCAAAAGCCUCUCUCAGUUCGGAUCGAAGUCUGCAACCCGACUUCGUGAAGCUGGAUUCGCUAGUAAUCGCGCAUCAGCCACGGCGCGGUGAAUACGUUCCCGGGCCUUGUACACACCGCCCGUCAAGCCAUGGGAGCCGGGGGUACCUGAAGUACGUAACCGCAAGGAUCGUCCUAGGGUAAAACU
Molecule: ribosomal RNA, 1438 nt
Filed under: uncultured organism
Description: 16S ribosomal RNA
Rfam family: Bacterial small subunit ribosomal RNA
Source: RNAcentral